RNAcentral lists this ribosomal RNA (497 nucleotides) under uncultured bacterium. RNAcentral's name for it is "partial 16S ribosomal RNA". It matches the Rfam family "Bacterial small subunit ribosomal RNA", at positions 28 to 507 of the family's 1533-position model. The record is from RNAcentral.
GACGAACGCUGGCGGCGUGCCUAAUACAUGCAAGUCGAACGCUGAAGCGAGGAGCUUGCUCUUCUUGGAUGAGUUGCGAACGGGUGAGUAACGCGUAGGUAACCUGCCUUGUAGCGGGGGAUAACUAUUGGAAACGAUAGCUAAUACCGCAUAACAAUGGAUGACACAUGUCAUUUAUUUGAAAGGGGCAAUUGUUCCACUACAAGAUGGACCUGCGUUGUAUUAGCUAGUAGGUGAGGUAAUGGCUCACCUAGGCGACGAUACGUCGCCGACCUGAGAGGGUGAUCGGCCACACUGGGACGGAGACACGGCCCAGACUCCUACGGGAGGCAGCAGUAGGGAAGCUUCGGCAAUGGGGGCAAACCUGACCGAGCAACGCGGCGGGAGUGCAGAAGGGUUUCGGAUCGUAAAGAUCGGUUGUAAGUCAAGAACGGGUGUGAGAGUGGAAAGUUCACACUGUGACGGUAGCUUACCAGAAAGGGACGGCUAACUACGUG